RNAcentral lists this ribosomal RNA (876 nucleotides) under Triticum aestivum (bread wheat). RNAcentral describes it as "partial small subunit ribosomal RNA". Lineage: Eukaryota; Viridiplantae; Streptophyta; Magnoliopsida; Poales; Poaceae. The record is from RNAcentral.
AUGCACACACACACCCACGCCCAACCCACGCACACCCACACCCACGUUGGAUCCCAUCUCUCUCGUUUUCCUCGAUCCCCUUUCUCCACCCCACGCCGCCGCCAGAUUCCGUCGAUCCCCGUCGUUCCCCACCGCCCAGCUCUCCUCCCCGAGGUCACCUUUCCCCACUCACCAUCUCCACCGACUGGUUUCUCUCCUCGCCCAGGAGAGCCACGCCCAGGCACUGGUGGUGGUGCACCGCGAGGAGGCCCCAGCGGCGUCGAGCUGCUGUUGCGGCGGGCUGUUGCUGCGGGCACAGCAACGCCGGCGAGGUCGGGAAGGUCGCAGCCCUUCAAGAUUCUCAAUGGCGGCGUCUCGGCGCUGAUGGCGGAGUCGACGGCGAGCAUCGGCGGGUACAUGGCGUCGGGGUACCGGAGGGUGGCCGGCGUGCAACUCUCCAUCAACCACCUCAAGCCCGCCCGCAUCGGCGACCGCAUCAAGACCAAGGCGAACCCCAUCCAGGUCGGCCGCAAUGUCCAGGCAGAGGUCGAGGGACGAGGUGUCUCCAAGCAGAGGCCGGUCUUCUGCAACCUGCAACUACGAUCUUGGACGGCCGGCGCGCGCGGGGUUGCAGCCUGCAGUCCGUAUGCAGUAAAUAUUAAAAUCCCCACAUGUCGGGAUGCUGCUCCUGCGCCGAGCUACUGCUGUUGCGGGCACAACAAUGAGCCGGGGAGCAGCUGCGUCAGGCUGCUGCUGCUGCGGGCGCGACGUCUCUCCUUUCCCCACCUCCGUUGCCGUUUUAAUUUUGGUUGUGGUGGUUGCAUCACCGGCGCGGUCGCAAAUCAGUAUGUAGUGUGCUUGUGGAGUUGGGUCUGGACUGCAGUGUCCAUCCAGUAG